UACGUAGGGGGCAAGCGUUGUCCGGAUUUAUUGGGCGUAAAGAGCGUGUAGGCGGCCUGAAAGGUCAGCUGUGAAAACUCGAGGCUCAACCUCGAGACGUCGGUUGAAACCAUCUGGCUAGAGUCCGGAAGAGGAGUGUGGAAUUCCCGGUGUAGCGGUGAAAUGCGUUGAGAUCGGAAGGAACGCCCGUGGCGAAAGCGAGGUCCUGGACGUCUACUGACGCUGAGACGCGAAAGCUAGGGGAGCGAAUGGG
RNAcentral lists this ribosomal RNA (253 nucleotides) under uncultured bacterium. RNAcentral's name for it is "partial 16S ribosomal RNA". It matches the Rfam family "Bacterial small subunit ribosomal RNA", at positions 524 to 776 of the family's 1533-position model. The record is from RNAcentral.